Molecule: long non-coding RNA, 862 nt
Filed under: Felis catus (domestic cat)
Lineage: Eukaryota; Metazoa; Chordata; Mammalia; Carnivora; Felidae
Description: lncRNA (ENSFCAG00000047422.1)
Source: RNAcentral
UUAUCUUCUCUCUUUCAAGGCAAAAAAGGACACAGCUUCUCAGCGUCUGACGUCCGCCUGUCAGACUUCUUGGCCCUCGGGCUGGAAAAACUCUGGCGUUCUCAGGAAUCCUUGCAAGCCUGGCUCCGAGGGGAAGCUCACCCGUGCAGACCACAGGGAGGAGCGAGAAGCCUUCAAGGCGCAGACCAGGUUGGACUAGAUUCAGAAGCCUAAUUACCACCAGAAAAUUAAAGAAAGCACUUUUCCUGUCCAAGUCAAAACUGGUUCUCUUCCACAUCCAAAGUGUGUGGGGACGACAAGAGACACUGGCUCAUCACCCGGCUCCCAGAGAAACACAAUGGAGGCAACCACCAGGGUCUGCUGGCAUAACGUCAGGAGAGUCAGAAAUCACCAGGAGUGGUGAACUGAGGACGGUCUAGAACCAGGGAUUGGUUUGGAUCGGAGGAACCACACCAAAGCUGGUUUCCAGGAGGACCCGGACUUGGGAGCAGAAUGGAGACAGGAGGCACGAGGUCUCGGAGGAAGUGCUACGACGUCUGGUGAGCAAGGAGAUGUAGCAGAUGUGCAGGGGCCAAUACUGAUGCAUUCCAGAUGGUCACGGCUGGACCAGCAGGCAGAUGGACAUUACUGAUGGGGACGAGGAGUUUGGAAGGGUGGGAUUGUCACAUCCUGUCAGGGGCACAGCGUGACUUAAUGAAACUGGUCAAGAGGGGUUGAGAUCUGGGGUAGCUGAGCCCUCCGCCGGCGAAGGGUUCUUCUUUAGAGUGUGGCCAAGCUGGCCGGGAACCCAGUUUUUCUGACUCCUGUUUUUUUCUUUACUCCAGGCUGCUGCCCAAAUAAAACCUUUACCUCAAGCUACGCA